Molecule: ribosomal RNA, 497 nt
Filed under: uncultured bacterium
Lineage: Bacteria
Description: partial 16S ribosomal RNA
Rfam family: Bacterial small subunit ribosomal RNA
Source: RNAcentral
GACGAACGCUGGCGGCGUGCCUAAUACAUGCAAGUUGAGCGAUGAAGAUUGGUGCUUGCACCAAUUUGAAGAGCAGCGAACGGGUGAGUAACGCGUGGGGAAUCUGCCUUUGAGCGGGGGACAACAUUUGGAAACGAAUGCUAAUACCGCAUAACAACUUUAAACAUAAGUUUUAAGUUUGAAAGAUGCAAUUGAAUCACUCAAAGAUGAUCCCGCGUUGUAUUAGCUAGUUGGUGAGGUAAAGGCUCACCAAGGCGAUGAUACAUAGCCGACCUGAGAGGGUGAUCGGCCACAUUGGGACUGAGACACGGCCCAAACUCCUACGGGAGGCAGCAGUAGGGAAUCUUCGGCAAUGGACGAAAGUCUGACCGAGCAACGCCGCGUGAGUGAAGAAGGUUUUCGGAUCGUAAAACUCUGUUGGUAGAGAAGAACGUUGGUGAGAGUGGAAAGCUCAUAAAGUGACGGUAACUACCCAGAAAGGGACGGCUAACUACGUG